Molecule: ribosomal RNA, 422 nt
Filed under: uncultured bacterium
Lineage: Bacteria
Description: bacterial SSU rRNA
Rfam family: Bacterial small subunit ribosomal RNA
Source: RNAcentral
CCAGCCGCCGCGGUAAUACAGAGGGUGCGAGCGUUAAUCGGAAUUACUGGGUGUAAAGGGCGCGUAGGCGGUAAGAUGUGUGUGGUGUGAAAGCCCCGGGCUUAACCUGGGAAGUGCAUCGCAAACUAUCUAACUAGAGUAUAUGAGAGGGUGGCGGAAUUUCCGGUGUAGCGGUGAAAUGCGUAGAGAUCGGAAGGAACGUCAAUGGCGAAGGCAGCCACCUGGCAUAAUACUGACGCUGAGGCGCGAAAGCGUGGGGAGCGAACAGGAUUAGAUACCCUGGUAGUCCACGCUGUAAACGAUGAGUACUAGAUGUUGGUAGGGGAACCUAUCAGUAUCGAAGCUAACGCGAUAAGUAUUCCACCUGGGAAGUACGGCCGCAAGGUUGAAACUCAAAUGAAUUGACGGGGGCCCGCACAAGC